This 430-nucleotide ribosomal RNA is filed under the name Bacillus safensis. RNAcentral's name for it is "bacterial SSU rRNA". It matches the Rfam family "Bacterial small subunit ribosomal RNA", at positions 114 to 530 of the family's 1533-position model. Lineage: Bacteria; Bacillati; Bacillota; Bacilli; Caryophanales; Bacillaceae. The record is from RNAcentral.
CACGUGGGUAACCUGCCUGUAAGACUGGGAUAACUCCGGGAAACCGGAGCUAAUACCGGAUAGUUCCUUGAACCGCAUGGUUCAAGGAUGAAAGACGGUUUCGGCUGUCACUUACAGAUGGACCCGCGGCGCAUUAGCUAGUUGGUGAGGUAACGGCUCACCAAGGCGACGAUGCGUAGCCGACCUGAGAGGGUGAUCGGCCACACUGGGACUGAGACACGGCCCAGACUCCUACGGGAGGCAGCAGUAGGGAAUCUUCCGCAAUGGACGAAAGUCUGACGGAGCAACGCCGCGUGAGUGAUGAAGGUUUUCGGAUCGUAAAGCUCUGUUGUUAGGGAAGAACAAGUGCAAGAGUAACUGCUUGCACCUUGACGGUACCUAACCAGAAAGCCACGGCUAACUACGUGCCAGCAGCCGCGGUAAUACGUAG